AGAUUGGUGGUUAGCAGAGGAGAAGAGGGUGGGAGCGGAGGGAAAGGGGUAAAAGGGGACAUUUGUACGGUGACAGAUGGCAUCUAGACUUCAGUGGUGAACAUGAUGCAGUCUAUACAGAAGUUGAAAUAUGAUGUAUACCUGAAAUUUAUAUAAUGUUAUAAACCAAUGUGACCUCAAUAAAAGAAAAGAAAAGGAAAAAAGAUUGCAAAGGGUGAAAAAUAAAACAUCCUUAGCUAUUUGAGCAUAAUAAACUAUACAUUUGUGGAAUAGUUAGAUCAAAUGCUCUUUAAACUUGCUGCAUAAAAUAUGAAAUUUUUCAAAACAGGGAGGUAACUCACUUCUUUGCUGUUGGAGUUCUUACUGAACAACCCUGUUGCCAAUUUUAAUUCAUAUUCCAUUGAAGGUGUUAAUGAAAUUUGGGGACAUACCAAUAGAUCUGGAAUAUAUAUAUUAUGUCUGAAAAAGAUGUUUUCUCAGCUCUUGUCAUUCCCCUGAAAAGAGCUCAUGGCAGCCUUCCUGCCUGAAAAUUCAACUUCCUGCCUGAAAAUUCAACUCUUUACUCAUUGAUCAACAGAAUGCAUCUACCCAUAUAGACUAAUUGUCCAGAAUGUAAAUAGUGUAUUUAAUGUGUGUUCUUACUCUGUGUUUAUUUCAUCAGUAGCUGUAAUGGUCAGGGUCCUUGGGUUACAGGCAACAGAAACUGACUUUGGGCAAUUUAAGAAGGGAAUUUCCUGGAAAUUUACCAGGAGAUCAGCGAAUAGACUGGAAAGCUGAGAACAGGGAGUGGUAAUAGUCAUUACUUAAGGCUGCUCUGGAGGACUGAGAAUGUUUCCAGACCAGGAACAAUCAUGUCAGGGCACCACAUGUGGAUAGUAUGGGAUUCCAACAGCUUCUUCCAUCCUAGCAUCUCUCACACGAGAUGCAAAUCCUGGAAGAUAGCAGUUGAUUCCCUGGGCUUCUGGCUCUUCUGAGACAGUGUGAGGAAAUCUAUUUAUUUGACAUUCUUAGUGGGAGGCAGGCAUCUGAAUUUACUGUUCCACCAAGACAAUACAAUAGGAAAGAACAAACUCUCCAAAAUAAAAUUUGCAUCCUACAGAAAGCAGAAGUGGAUGCUGAGCUGCCAAAAAUAUUAAACACACAUGUGUACAACUAUCAUCUACUGCAAUAGUAUAUAUUUAUUUACAUUUGAUUUAUUAUAUAUAUACAUUUGUGUAUAUACAUAGACCUAUUCCACUUUUAGUAGUAUCUUGCAGUGAUGGUGCUUAAUUAAUACUUCACAAAGUUUUACAGAUGUGAUGUAGAUUUAGAAGGCCAUGAAACGCUUCUUUGAUGAUUCUCUUCUGGAAAUAAUUUCCCCUAAUCUGAAUGAUUUCUUCUUUAGGGUCUAGCAGAGAAGGAAUGAGGGUAAUGCAUUGAAUCAAAAGCACAUCUGUUGAUUUAUGGGGUGUUUCAAUAGUAACUUAGAGAUGACAGAUCAUUGAUUUUAUAAUUGUUGAGAAGUUGAGUGGAAAGGCACAGAGAAGGAGGGGUUGAAAUUACAGCAGGACCACUGGCCUUCUGACAUAUUCGGGAAAAGGAUCUCAAGUGUGGAGGGGUCUGGCUUAUGAUACAGAGCAGGGAGUUGGAAAGGAAAGGAGAAAUGAAUAUGAAAUCAUCUAGUCUAGUCCUUUUUAGGACUUGUGAAGCUAACCUAAAAAUUAUCAGAUUUUAUGCUCGAUGAGUAUAUCUUUUGCCUUGAUCUUGUUUAUGGAAGAAGGAGUUAGUUGUUAUUUAGCUAUAUUUAUGGAUAAACAUCUUGAUCAAAUUCAAUAGAGAUACUAAAAUUUUAUUUAAUUAAAAAGUGGAGUGAUCACAUUAUUUUAAGUUCAUACACAAAUACAAUUUAGAGGCCUAACUCUUUUUUAGUGGUCAUUAUUAAAGUGUGUUAUAGUAAUUUGAAAACAUUGUGACGGUCUGUGAUCAAAAAAAUCAAUUUUAAUUUGUUACAUAUUGAAUCCUGAUUUUUUCUUAGUGGCUUGAUCUAUAAUUACUGAUACACAUUCUCUGCAAACUAAGUGCUUUCAGUAGAAAAGAGUGGGUAUUUUGCAACUACUAGUAGAGCUAAAUCUUAUUUAAUUGGGUGGACCAAAAGAAAUAUACUUUCCUCUAUGUAACUUCCUUUGUUUAAAUUGAGGUAUAGUUAACAUAUAACAUAUACUUGUUUCAGGUAUACAACACAAUGAUUCGAUGUUAGUGUAUAUUGCGAAAUGAUCACCUCAAUAAAUCUAGUUACCACUUGUCACCAUACAUAGUUACAAAAAACAUGAUUUCCUUUCAAAUCCAAACCAGUUGUGGCUUUAUUUUAUUCUGACAUGAUGGUGUUCAGUUGAGUUUGGUCUCUUUUUUUCCCAUAGCUCUCCAACGGUGGGUAUUACUUUGUUAUCUCCCAGGCUGACUACGUACGUAAGAAUUACAGAAUGGUCUACCCUGUAGACCAGACUUUGCUUUACUGACAUGGAGCUAAAGGAGCAUGUCAACCAUUUAAAAACUAAAACACGAAGUGGAUGGUAAUGUAUGUGGUCUCCAAGGUGAAACGUGAACAGAUUCCACACUACUAUAAUUUUCUUAAUAAGAGAAUCUUUAGCCAUGGCAUUACCAUAUUUUGUGUAGUCUUGAAAGCAGCAAUGCAUGUAUAGAAAUGUGAAAGUCUCAAACAAAAUCUUAACCAAAGAUCUUUAACAUGGGCAUAAUAGAUCCCUGGGACCUGGAGGUGGUCUGUUGGAGAAACUGCUGGACCAGAAGAAGUAGAUCGUAGGAGAGAGCUUGUGUUAGAGAAAGAUAAGCAUUACCAUCUAACAUGAGGCUGCUUCUCCAGAUGAAGCGGAGAUUGAAAUGUCACACCAGCAUGAUCAAUUAGAUGAUGUAGAAUACAGCCAUUUGCUACCUGACCUUAAUCCACACGGCAAGAAUGACUGAAUGGGGAAGAUGGGAUACAGAGAGACUCAAAGGCACUGCAGAAGCCUCAAACCAGAACCACCAACAGGCAUGGACACAAAAAGCUCCAAGAAAAUCUUUUUCCCUGCAGGCAAAGGACCAGGAAGCAUUCUGAAAACAUCUACCCUGCUCUAGCCAAAAGCCAAACACCAAUGGAAAAAUGCCCCCUCUAUCCUCUAUCCCCUUGUUGGGUGGACACAGGCAGCAUGCUCCCAUAACCCCACAGGGUGGUAUCAGCAGGGCUGAGUGGGAAGCUAACCUUCCAUCCUGUGCAUGGCAGAAGCAGGCAGUGCUUCAGUUUCCCCGCCAGGUGGUGUUGGCAGGACCAAGUGGCAACUGAUCUUCCAUGCCCUGCCCAGUGGAACCAGGCAGUGCAAAUCUGCCAGGGUAGUGUGAUUGGGGCCCAGUGGUCACCUGAGUUGCCAUCUUCACCAGCAGCAGUGAGACUUAAGGAGGCUGUGCACAUUGGGGCUGGUCAGCACUCUGCUUUCCCUUGGGGUCAGGGGGAAGUUGCAACCCCAUCCAGGAGCGACAGGACAGAAUUAGGUGGUGGGGGGUAGUGCUUGUUGGCACUCCGCCUCCCUCCUUCCCCUUCCCUGAUGGCAGAAGAGCCCAGUGGGGUGGGAGUUGGUGGCCCCCUUUCACAACAAAGGUGUCAGUAGGGCAGAAAGGGGACGGACUAUGUACCCCCUGUCUGCAAUGAUGCAGCAUGAAUCAGUGCCCUACUCUUGCCAAGGUGGUACUGGCAGGGCCCAGAGGAACCUGAACAUACACACUCAUCCCACCCUUGCACUGCACCUCACCAGGGGACUGCCUGCUAAACAAAGAAGAUAAAAUAGGAUCCAGAGUCUCAUAGUACAAUAUCCAAAUUCCCAGCAUGCAAUAGAAAGUUACUUGUCAUACCAGGAACAGAAAAACCAAAACACGAAUGAGAAGAGACAAUCAACAAAUGCCAACACUGAGAUGAAUCAGAUUUAGAAAUGAUCUGACAACAAUUUUAAAGCAGUCUCAUAAAAAUGCUUCAUCAGGAAUUACGGAUUCUCUUGAAACAAAUGAAAAAUUAGGAAAUCUCAGCAAAAUAAAAAAUUAGAAGUUAUUAAAAAAGCAACCAAAUGGAAAUUAUAGAACUGAAAAAUACAAUAACCAAAGUAAAAUUUCUUUGAUGGGCUCAGUGGUACAAUGGAGAAGACAGAAUAAAAUCAGUGAAUUUGAGGACGUGUCAAUAGAAUUUAGACAGUAUGAGUAACAGAGAAGACAGAAAAAAAACAUUGGAUAAAUUAGUUAAACUGUCUGGAUUUCACUUUCCUCAUCUUUAAAACAAAGGUCAUGAUUCUAGCUAUGUCAAAGGAAUGUUGCAACAAUUAAUUGAGAUGUAUAUAAAAGGCUUAUUUGGCAGAGAGCCAGGCACAUACGUAUAAAGGUCUUCACAUUAAUCCUCUUCAGCUUGUAAGAUAGCUUGACUCACCCUUUCCACUUAAUCAAUGAGAAAAUGGUCUCAGAAAAGUUAGAUGGGUUCAAGAACCACGCACUUCCCACUCGUGACAGAAGUAUUUACUGAUUAUCCAUGUUCUCCACCACAUUUACUAGCACCCUCGAGGUAAGAUGGAGCAUUUAAGAGCCGGUGUACAACAUUGUGAUCCCUCACUCAAUGGAUCUUUGUUGCCACAGUGAUCUAGAAGCCGCAUCUUGAGAUGUUUGGAGCCCCAAGAUGCAAGUGGACUGGAUUCCUGAUUCACUGCUUGAAGGGUGCUACCCUGGAGAGCUGCCAGACUUGCUGGUGAUUUUCCCCUAGUGAGAAAUAAACCUUUGAUGU
Diceros bicornis minor is the source of this 4789-nucleotide long non-coding RNA. RefSeq lists it as uncharacterized. The transcript is spliced from 4 exons. The record is from RefSeq and is a predicted model, not a curated record. NCBI's taxonomy places the organism in Eukaryota, Metazoa, Chordata, Mammalia, Perissodactyla, Rhinocerotidae.